This 2422-nucleotide long non-coding RNA is filed under the name Sus scrofa (pig). RNAcentral describes it as "lncRNA (ENSSSCG00050006674.1)". The record is from RNAcentral. Lineage: Eukaryota; Metazoa; Chordata; Mammalia; Artiodactyla; Suidae.
UUUUUUUUUUUUCUUUUUUUUUAUAGAAUAAAAUACAUAUAUUUAAAUACAAUUACAGUCACACAGAUUAUUAUAUCAUGGAUCUUAAGAAAGAGAUUAAGUGACUCCCUCUAGAGAAGUGGAAUGGAAAAUAUACUGAGACAAAUAGGAAAUUUAUUCUAUACAUUAUCCCAUUUUGUAUGGCUUUCAUCUUUACUAUUUAGUAUUAUCUAUUACAUUUCAAUUUUUCUUAAAAAAUUAGCAUUAUAUUAACAUUGUGUAUAUUAUGCAACUAAAAUUUAUAAAGAAAGCCUUAUAUACCAUUAAAUAUUUUAUAUAGCAUAAUAAAAAGAAUAACUUAACUGGUAAGAAUAACAAAAAUAAUACACCCUCUGAAAAUAAGUAAAAUAUAAAAUGCAUAAAUUGGUUAAAAAACAGUGUAACUAUAUAAAUAUGUCCUCACAAUUUGUUACAUCUUAUUGAUUCUUCAAUAUAGGCAUUACACCAUUCUAGGUGAUGUGAUAAACAAGACAUUAUAGACCUUACAUUGUACCAUGGAGAGAAAUGGUUAUUAAUAAUACAAUUGUAGAACUGUAUUAUUUAAUUGUACAGUUGCAUUAUUUAAUUAUAAUUAUCAUAAAUUCUUUGAUGGAGAGGAAAUCAGAAUCAGAUCUAAGAAGACUUCAGCAUUCCAAGAAUGAUGUCAAAUGACCCCCUUCAUGGUGGAUUAUGCACUUAUUUACUAUGAGAUAUAUUUCUUCUCCAGAGAUUCCUUGUUUGUGUAUCAAUUGUAGAUUUUUGGUUUGCAGUUAUUCUGAAGUUUUGAUAUAAGAGUCUAUAUGUAUAUGAGAUUGUUUUAAGUUGUUGUUCUCUUAAUUGCAAGUUCAUCUCCAGUGUCCUGCAUUUGUACCCACCUCUUCUCAUGAUUUCUGAUUUUGGUGGUAUAAUUGUGCAUGGAUGAUUUCAUAUCUUUACUGUAUAUAUACCUUUACUGGUGAGCCUUGUCAUUUGUGGUAUUUUUGUUUCCUGUUGCUGUCUUUUCUUUUCUGCCUAGAGAAGUUCCUUUAGUAUUUGUUGUCAGGCUGGUUUAGUGUUGCUGAAUUCACUCAGCUUUUGCUUAUCUGUGAAGCUUUUGAUUUCUCCUUCAAAUCUGAAUGAGAGCCUUGCUGGGUAAAGUAAUCUUGGUUGGGGGUUUUUUCCUUUCAUUAUGUUAAGUGUUUCAUGCCACUGCCUUCCUGCCUGCAGAGUUUCUGCUGAAAAAUCUGCCAAUAACCUUAUUGGGGUUCCCUGGUAUGUUAUUUGUUUCUUUUCCCUAUCUGCUUUCAAGAUUUUCUCUUUGUCUUUAAUUUUGGUCAGUUUGAUUAAUAUGUGUCUUGGUGUAUUCCUCCUUGAGUUUGUUUUAUAUGAUACUCGUUGUGCUUCCUGGAUUUGAGUGAGUGGUUCCUUUCCCAUGUUAGGGAAGUUUUCGGUUAUUAUCUCUUGGAACAUUAUUUCUGUCCCCUUCUCUCUCUUUUCUCCUUCUGGCACCCCUAUAAUAUGGAUGUUGAUGCAUUUGCCAUUGUCCCAGAGUUCUCUGAGACUCUCUUCAUUUGUUUUCCAUCUUUUUUCUCUUUUCUGUUCCACAUCCUUAAUUUCCACUAAUCUGUCCUCCACCUCACUUAUUUGUUCUUCUGCCUCCUGUAUUCUGCUAUUAGCUGCUUCUACUGAGUUUUUUAUUUCAGUGAUUGUAUUUUGCAUCUCUUUGUGUUUAAGUUGUAUAUCUUGUAUCACAUUGUUCAGUGUUUCCUGUAAGUUAUCCAUCUUUGCCUCCAGUUUAUUUCUAAUGUCUUACAUCCUCUUCAGCAUCAACAGUCUAAAGUCUUUUUCCUGGAUGCUGAGAAUCUCCUCAUCACUUAGCUUAUUUUCUGGGGUUUUUUCUUUCUUCCUCAUCUGAGAUGUAGUUCUCUGUCUUUUUAUUUUUAUAGGUUUUUGGCGUGGUGACCUUUUUUACAUAUAAUAGAGUUGUAGCCUCUCUUACUUCUGGUGUCUGCCCCCCUUGUGGCUGAAGUCAUAUGGGGGCUUGCUGUAGGCUUCCUGAUGGGAGGGGCUGAUGCCUGCCCACUGGUAGGUGGAGCUGAUUCUAAUCCCUCUGGUGGGUGGGGCUUAGUCUCUGAAUGGGAUUAGAGGCAGCUGUGUUCCUGAGGGGUCUUUAUGCAGCCUGCUUACUGAGGGGUGGGGCUGUGAUCCCACCUGGAUUGUUGUUUGGCCUGGGGCUUCUCAGGCUGACUGAUGGGUGGGGCCAUAUUUUCCCAAAAUGGCCACCUCCAGAGAAAGGCAUGCUGCUGAAUAUUCCCGAGAGCUUUGCUUCCAGUACCCUUCCCCCACAACAAGCCACAUUCACCCCUGUUUUCCCAGGAGGUCCUCCAAGAACUGCAGUCAGGUCUGACCUAGAUUACUAUGGAGA